RNAcentral lists this ribosomal RNA (538 nucleotides) under uncultured bacterium. Its description in RNAcentral is "bacterial SSU rRNA". It matches the Rfam family "Bacterial small subunit ribosomal RNA", at positions 350 to 875 of the family's 1533-position model. The record is from RNAcentral.
AGCAGUGGGGAAUAUUGGACAAUGGGCGCAAGCGGGAUCCAGCCAUACCGCGUGGGUGAAGAAGGCCUUCGGGUUGUAAAGCCCUUUUGUUGGGAAAGAAAUCCUAACAUUUAAUAACCGGUAGGGAUGACGGUACCCAAAAAAAAAACACCGGGUAAAUUCGUGCCAGCAGCCGCGGUAAUACGAAGGGAGCCAGCGUUUUUCGGAAAUUUCUGGGGGUAAAAGGUGCGUAGGGGGUUGUUUAAAUUUGUGGUGAAAACUCUGGGCUCAACCUGGGAAAUGCGCCUGGAUAAUGGGCAACUAGAGUGUAGGAGAGGGUAGUGGAAAUUUCCGGUGGAGCAGUGAAAAGCGUAGAGAUUGGCAGGAAAAUCCGUGGGGAAAGGCGAGUCUCUGGGCCAACACUGACACUGAGGCACGAAAGCGUGGGGAGCAAACAGGAUUAGAUACCCCGGUAGUCCACGCCCUAAACGAUGCGAACUGGAUGUUGGGCACAACUUGUGCCUCAGUAUCGCAGCUAACGCGAUAAGUACGCCGCCUG